RNAcentral lists this transfer RNA (73 nucleotides) under Phycisphaerae bacterium. RNAcentral describes it as "tRNA-Ala". It matches the Rfam family "tRNA". Rfam says of the family: Transfer RNA (tRNA) molecules are approximately 80 nucleotides in length. The record is from RNAcentral. RNAcentral also lists the same sequence under 3 other names. Lineage: Bacteria; Pseudomonadati; Planctomycetota; Phycisphaerae.
GGGGACGUAGCUCAGUUGGGAGAGCGUCGCGUUCGCAAUGCGAAGGUCGUGGGUUCGAAUCCCAUCGUCUCCA